Helianthus annuus (common sunflower) is the source of this 1148-nucleotide long non-coding RNA. RefSeq lists it as uncharacterized. The record is from RefSeq and is a predicted model, not a curated record. The transcript has 3 exons. NCBI's taxonomy places the organism in Eukaryota, Viridiplantae, Streptophyta, Magnoliopsida, Asterales, Asteraceae.
AAAAGAAAAGGAAUGAUUAUUUACAAAUUAUUCAACCAAAACCUAUUUAUUUUUGUACAAAAAAAUAGAAGUUUUUAUUUGUUUGGAUAUUUUACAUGUAUACGAAAAAGAAAAGAUCUUGCCCAAAACCCAGCAAAACUGGCCCACAGUAAAAUUGCUUUGGGUAAUGGUUUUUCCUGACACAGUUUGUUUAUUAUUGCACAAACCUAAAGAAUCUUUCCCUAAACACCACCAUCGCCACCACCCAGGGACCACUACCACCCUCUCAUCAAACCACCGGUCAUUUGAAUCCGGGCUUCUCUCCGGCACCCAUAUCUCCACAUCGUCAUCCAUGUCUUCACAAAAAAAAAAAAGUUUGUUGAUCAAUUGACCAAACCUAGCCAGAAUCUGGUUGUCGCAGGGUCACCCACCCUCGGCUGAUGAUAAAUGAUUCGCGUUGGAAGGGAGUAGAGAGAGAUGAUAACGGCCACCAAGAACACCGGAACCAAAAUAAUCUUUGGAAUCGACGGCGGUGCCACCGGUCCCAUUUCGAACGACAGAAAUCAUAAGCAGCGUGACUCCGGGGCAAGGCCCCAAUCGUACUCGUUGUUCUCCAGAUCCUUCUUCCCGAAUUUGUGUGUCUGAAAGUUUGCGUGUGAGUUUAUGUAUAUAUACCAUGGGUAUGGGUGUGUGCCUGUUUGGAGGAGAUGCAACGGUUGCGACAACGUUUUUUUGACGGUUGCUAUUUUAGUGUGGUCAGUUGGUGAUAUGUGAGCAGAACGGUUAUUGAAUGAAUCCGUGCUUUUUAUAUUGAUGAAGGGAUGCGAUGGGAGGCUGGGAGCGGUUGUGAAAUGGUGAUGAGACGGCAUUGGUUGUGGGUGUGCCGUAUGGCAGUUACAAUUUAUUAAUUGCAACGUUUAACCGGUGCCUCACUUUUUGUAUAUAUAGGAUCGAAAGAAGAAGGGGCUAGUUCCGGAUCACAAACAAAGGCACAAGAUCGAGGUAAAGCACCCGCAUGAUUGUCGUUGCGUCGCUCGGAUACGAACACACCUUGAUCACCCGUGAUGCGCUUCCGCAACUUUUGUAGUAACCUUAUUAGUCAAAGACUUUUGUUAAAGUUGGUUGUGUUUGGAAGUUUUAAAUUUUAACUAGAUGUUUGUGAAUACUUA